This 408-nucleotide RNase P RNA is filed under the name Streptomyces qinzhouensis. RNAcentral describes it as "Bacterial RNase P class A". It matches the Rfam family "Bacterial RNase P class A". From Rfam's summary of the family: Ribonuclease P (RNase P) is a ubiquitous endoribonuclease, found in archaea, bacteria and eukarya as well as chloroplasts and mitochondria. Its best characterised activity is the generation of mature 5'-ends of tRNAs by cleaving the 5'-leader elements of precursor-tRNAs. Lineage: Bacteria; Bacillati; Actinomycetota; Actinomycetes; Kitasatosporales; Streptomycetaceae. The record is from Rfam by way of RNAcentral.
CGAGCCGGGCGGACGGCCGCGUGGGGAUCCCCGGAUCCCCCCGAGGAACGUCCGGGCUCCACAGGGCAGGGUGGUGGCUAACGGCCACCCGGGGUGACCCGCGGGACAGUGCCACAGAGAACAGACCGCCGGGACCGUAUCCGUACGGACCCCGGUAAGGGUGAAACGGUGGUGUAAGAGACCACCAGCGCCUGAGGUGACUCAGGCGGCUAGGUAAACCCCACCCGGAGCAAGGUCAAGAGGGAACACCCCGGUGUUCCUGCGCGGACGUUCGAGGGCUGCUCGCCCGAGUCCGCGGGUAGACCGCACGAGGCCGGUGGCAACACCGGUCCUAGAUGGAUGGCCGUCGCCCCGCAGGCCGCGAGGCCCGCGGGGAAACAGAACCCGGCGUACGGCCCGGCUCGUCUG